AGAAAGUUUGAGAAAAUAGAGCUCUUUAAUUUGGAAGGAAGUCAAAUGCAUUCUCAACUAUCAUGUAUGGCUGCCCAAAGAAUGAAUCUGAGAAAUUGAAACUUCAAAUCUCAUGCCACGCAUGAUUGACCAUGACAGACAAAAUUUCGACAAAAGUAAAGAGAUUGAACAUCGCAGAUUUGAAAACCAAAUUGGGAUACACUGAUCGAAAAUGAAGGCAUGUGUGGUUCCUUCCUCCGAUUCAACUAAGAACACAGGCAUGGAGUACACCAUUAAACUAACA
This 283-nucleotide long non-coding RNA is filed under the name Nicotiana benthamiana. RNAcentral describes it as "long non-coding RNA (NBEN_LNC009747)". Lineage: Eukaryota; Viridiplantae; Streptophyta; Magnoliopsida; Solanales; Solanaceae. The record is from RNAcentral.